This 1065-nucleotide ribosomal RNA is filed under the name uncultured Pelagibacterales bacterium. RNAcentral's name for it is "bacterial SSU rRNA". It matches the Rfam family "Bacterial small subunit ribosomal RNA", at positions 357 to 1440 of the family's 1533-position model. The record is from RNAcentral. Lineage: Bacteria; Pseudomonadati; Pseudomonadota; Alphaproteobacteria; Candidatus Pelagibacterales.
GGGAAUCUUGCACAAUGGGGGAAACCCUGAUGCAGCGAUGCCGCGUGAGUGAAGAAGGCCUUUGGGUUGUAAAGCUCUUUCGUCGGGGAAGAAAAUGACUGUACCCGAAUAAGAAGGUCCGGCUAACUUCGUGCCAGCAGCCGCGGUAAUACGAAGGGACCUAGCGUAGUUCGGAAUUACUGGGCUUAAAGAGCUCGUAGGUGGUUAGAGAAGUUGGUGGUGAAAUCCCAAGGCUUAACCUUGGAACUGCCAUCAAAACUUUUUAACUAGAGUGUGAUAGAGGAAAGUGGAAUUUCUAGUGUAGAGGUGAAACUCGUAGAUAUUAGAAAGAACACCAAUUGCGAAGGCAACUUUCUGGAUCACUACUGACACUGAGGAGCGAAAGCAUGGGUAGCGAAGAGGAUUAGAUACCCUCGUAGUCCAUGCCGUAAACGAUGUGUGUUAGACGUUGGAAAUUUAAUUUUCAGUGUCGCAGCAAAAGCGUUAAACACACCGCCUGGGGAGUACGACCGCAAGGUUAAAACUCAAAUGAAUUGACGGGGACCCGCACAGGUAGUGGAGCAUGUGGUUUAAUUCGAAGAUACGCGCAGAACCUUACCAACACUUGACAUGUUUGUCGCGACUCUAAGAGAUUAGAGUCUUCGGUUCGGCCGGACAAAACACAGGUGCUGCAUGGCUGUCGUCAGCUCGUGUCGUGAGAUGUUGGGUUAAGUCCCGCAACGAGCGCAACCCUUACUUUUAGUUGCUACCAUUUAGUUGGGCACUCUAAAAGAACUGCCAGUGAUAAGCUGGAGGAAGGCGGGGAUGACGUCAAGUCCUCAUGGCCCUUACGUGUUGGGCUACACACGUGCUACAAUGGUACUCACAGUGAGAAGCGAAGAGGCGACUCCAAGCUAAUCCCAAAAAGGUACCUCGGUUCGGAUUGUACUCUGCAACUCGAGUACAUGAAGCUGGAAUUACUAGUAAUCGCGGAUCAGCGCGCCGCGGUGAAUACGUUCCCGGGUCUUGUACACACCGCCCGUCACACCAUGGAAGUUGGUUACACCUUAAGGCAAAGCUAAAACC